This 641-nucleotide ribosomal RNA is filed under the name Mycobacterium sp. I12A-02571. Its description in RNAcentral is "bacterial SSU rRNA". It matches the Rfam family "Bacterial small subunit ribosomal RNA", at positions 99 to 753 of the family's 1533-position model. Lineage: Bacteria; Bacillati; Actinomycetota; Actinomycetes; Mycobacteriales; Mycobacteriaceae. The record is from RNAcentral.
CGAACGGGUGAGUAACACGUGGGUGAUCUGCCCUGCACUUUGGGAUAAGCCUGGGAAACUGGGUCUAAUACCGAAUACACCUCUUGGGUUGCAUGACUCUUGGGGGAAAGCUUUUGCGGUGUGGGAUGGGCCCGCGGCCUAUCAGCUUGUUGGUGGGGUGAUGGCCUACCAAGGCGACGACGGGUAGCCGGCCUGAGAGGGUGUCCGGCCACACUGGGACUGAGAUACGGCCCAGACUCCUACGGGAGGCAGCAGUGGGGAAUAUUGCACAAUGGGCGCAAGCCUGAUGCAGCGACGCCGCGUGGGGGAUGACGGCCUUCGGGUUGUAAACCUCUUUCAGCACAGACGAAGCGCAAGUGACGGUAUGUGCAGAAGAAGCACCGGCCAACUACGUGCCAGCAGCCGCGGUAAUACGUAGGGUGCGAGCGUUGUCCGGAAUUACUGGGCGUAAAGAGCUCGUAGGUGGUUUGUCGCGUUGUUCGUGAAAACCGGGGGCUUAACCCUCGGCGUGCGGGCGAUACGGGCAGACUGGAGUACUGCAGGGGAGACUGGAAUUCCUGGUGUAGCGGUGGAAUGCGCAGAUAUCAGGAGGAACACCGGUGGCGAAGGCGGGUCUCUGGGCAGUAACUGACGCUGAGGAG